This 438-nucleotide ribosomal RNA is filed under the name uncultured archaeon. RNAcentral's name for it is "bacterial SSU rRNA". It matches the Rfam family "Archaeal small subunit ribosomal RNA", at positions 93 to 533 of the family's 1478-position model. The record is from RNAcentral.
GUAACACCUAGUCAACAUGCCCAGGGGACGUGGAUAACCUCGGGAAACUGAGAAUGAACCGCGAUAGGUCACAAUUUCUGGAAUGGAUUUUGGCUUAAAUCUAUAUGGCCCCUGGAUUGGACUGCGGCCGAUCAGGCUGUUGGUGAGGUAAUGGCCCACCAGGCCUGUAACCGGUACGGGCUCUGAGAGGAGGAGCCCGGAGAUGGGCACUGAGACAAGGGCCCAGGCCCUAUGGGGCGCAGCAGGCGCGAAACCUCUGCAAUGGGCGAAAGCCUGACAGGGUUACUCUGAGUGAUUUCCGCUAAGGGGAUCUUUUGACACCUCUAAAAAUGGUGUAGAAUAAGGGGUGGGCAAGUCUGGUGUCAGCCGCCGCGGUAAUACCAGCACCCCGAGUGGUCGGGACGAUUAUUGGGCCUAAAGCAUCCGUAGCCGGUUCUU